Molecule: ribosomal RNA, 552 nt
Filed under: uncultured Bacilli bacterium
Lineage: Bacteria; Bacillati; Bacillota; Bacilli
Description: bacterial SSU rRNA
Rfam family: Bacterial small subunit ribosomal RNA
Source: RNAcentral
AGCUUGCUCUUCUUGGAUGAGUUGCGAACGGGUGAGUAACGCGUAGGUAACCUGCCUUGUAGCGGGGGAUAACUAUUGGAAACGAUAGCUAAUACCGCAUAACAAUGGAUGACACAUGUCAUUUAUUUGAAAGGCGCAAUUGCUCCACUACAAGAUGGACCUGCGUUGUAUUAGCUAGUAGGUGAGGUAACGGCUCACCUAGGCGACGAUACAUAGCCGACCUGAGAGGGUGAUCGGCCACACUGGGACUGAGACACGGCCCAGACUCCUACGGGAGGCAGCAGUAGGGAAUCUUCGGCAAUGGGGGCAACCCCUGACCGAGCAACGCCGCGUGAGUGAAGAAAGGUUUUCCGGAUCGUAAAGCUCUGUUGUAAGUUCAAGAACGAAGUGUUAAAGUGGAAAGUUCACACUGUGACGGUAGCUUAACCAGAAAAGGGACGGCUUAACUACGUGCCAAGCAGCCGCGGUAAUACGUAGGUCCCGAGCGUUGUCCGGGAUUCAUUGGGCGUAAAGCGAGCGCAAGGCCGGUUUGAUAAGUCUGAAGUUAAAGGC